RNAcentral lists this ribosomal RNA (558 nucleotides) under uncultured Bacteroidota bacterium. RNAcentral describes it as "bacterial SSU rRNA". It matches the Rfam family "Bacterial small subunit ribosomal RNA", at positions 327 to 884 of the family's 1533-position model. The record is from RNAcentral. Lineage: Bacteria; Pseudomonadati; Bacteroidota.
CGGGCCAGACUCCUACGGGAGGCAGCAGUAAGGAAUAUUGGUCAAUGGGGGCAACCCUGAACCAGCCAUGCCGCGUGCAGGAUGACGGCCCUAUGGGUUGUAAACUGCUUUUAUACCAGAGAAAACCCGAGUACGUGUACUCGGUUGAUAGUAUGGUGAGAAUAAGCAUCGGCUAACUUCGUGCCAGCAGCCGCGGUAAGACGAAGGAUGCAAGCGUUAUCCGGAUUCAUUGGGUUUAAAGGGAGCGUAGGUGGACUGCUAAGUCAGUGGUGAAAUCUUCGAGCUUAACUCGGAAAUUGCCAUUGAUACUGUUGGUCUUGAGUACAGUUGCUGUGGGCGGAAUAUGACAUGUAGUGGUGAAAUACAUAGAGAUGUCAUAGAACACCGAUUGCGAAGGCAGCUCACAAAGCUGUAACUGACACUGAGGCUCGAAAGUGCGGGGAUCAAACAGGAUUAGAUACCCUGGUAGUCCGCACCGUAAACGAUGAUUACUCGCUGCUAGAUGGCAACAUUUAGUGGCUUAGCGAAAGCGAUAAGUAAUCCACCUGGGGGAGUACG